Molecule: long non-coding RNA, 583 nt
Filed under: Phasianus colchicus (ring-necked pheasant)
Lineage: Eukaryota; Metazoa; Chordata; Aves; Galliformes; Phasianidae
Description: lncRNA (ENSPCLG00000005755.1)
Source: RNAcentral
GUUUUAUUAGCUUAUGAAUUUUUGUCUCUUUCAUGCUGGCUUAUAAUAAUGAUAACCACAGGCUUUUGGACUGGGUGAUAUGAGGAGAAGAAAUUGCUCAAUUCUGGUGCAGUAAGUCCAGCUAAGUGUUUUGAAGUGGUGGAAGUCUCCAAAUGAGAUGAGUGCUAAGAAGUGAGGUGCUCAUGUUCAGCUGGGGGUGCCAAUUGUAGGUGUGCAGAAAUAAUGGCGUGACUCAAGACUGCUUUGACAGGCAAAUCCACCUGCAGUCUGGGCAUACCUAUUUAUUGCCUGGAAAAAAAAAGUUGAACCAUCUGUGGUGUAUGGGUUUGUGUUCAGCUGGGUCCCUCCAUGCAGCAAGAACCAGGAUGGAAACAUCCAGGCCAGAUCCACUAACCACAGUGUUGCUUCAGUAUCUCUCAGAUGUUGCAGCUCAGAGCCAAUGAUGUGUAGACGGAGAGUUCAGUUGACCUAUGGAACACAGAGUGUAAAGACUUUCUGAGUGCUCAGAUUCUCCAGGAAUAGUAGUAUUAUAGUAAAACUCAUUCGCUCUUUUUAAGCAUCUAAGAUUUAAUAUGAAAUGAAA